GAUGAAGAACGCAGCGAAAUGCGAUAAGUAAUGUGAAUUGCAGAAUUCAGUGAAUCAUCGAAUCUUUGAACGCACCUUGCGCUCUUUGGUAUUCCGAAGAGCAUGCCUAUUUGAGUGUCAUGAAAAUAUCAACCUUGACUUGGGUUUUGUGCUCUAGUCUCGGCUUGGAAUUGGGUGCUUGCCGCUUUUACGAGCGGCUCACCUUAAAUGUAUUAGCUGGAUCUGUCUUUGAGACUUGGUUUGACUUGGCGUAAUAAGUAUUUCGCUAAGGACAUUCUUCGGAGUGGCCUCGUUUCUAGGACGCUUGUCCGCUUUCCAAUACAAGUUCCACCUCGUGGACAUGACUUUUUAUUAUCUGGCCUCAAAUCAGGUAGGACUACCCGCUGAACUUAAGCAUAUCAAUAAGCGGAGGA
This 413-nucleotide unclassified non-coding RNA is filed under the name soil metagenome. Its description in RNAcentral is "partial contains 5.8S ribosomal RNA, internal transcribed spacer 2, and large subunit ribosomal RNA". The stretch from base 1 to 120 matches the Rfam family "5.8S ribosomal RNA", at positions 35 to 154 of the family's 154-position model. The record is from RNAcentral.